RNAcentral lists this long non-coding RNA (3346 nucleotides) under Nicotiana tabacum (common tobacco). RNAcentral describes it as "long non-coding RNA (NTAB_LNC009773)". Lineage: Eukaryota; Viridiplantae; Streptophyta; Magnoliopsida; Solanales; Solanaceae. The record is from RNAcentral.
GUUUGUUUAGUAGAGUAAGAUUGGAUCUCAUCCAUUCAAUUUCACUUGAUCCGACGGUCCAAAUUCAUUCGCCAACUAGGUAUUUAAAGCCCCAUAUCUCAGAAAAAUACCUCCAUUUUCCCCUUAAUUCCUCUUUCCUUCCUCUAUCUUCUCUCUCUCGCCUCUCUCCCAGGACCUCUCACCACCGCCGCCCGCCACCACUAUUCUGCCGGCCGGAAAUCGCCACUGCUGGCGAACGAACCCCAAACAACCCCAAAAUUUCAUCAUCUCUUCUUCUACUCACCCUCUUUCUAGACCUACAACCCAAAUUCCCCAAAUCUCCACCAAAAACUGACAAACCCAAACCCUAGUAACGCCGCCGGCCAAAACCCUUCAAAAUUUCACUAGCUCCUCCUCUCCUCCUCCUCUAUCCCAUUCUAUACCCCAAAAUCCUCAAAACCCUAUGCCUCACCUCAUGCUAGCGCCGCUGCUCCACCACCCAAGACCACCACUGUUUCUCCACUCUAGCUUCAUCUCGACGUAAAGGAACCUGUUUCCUUCUAGCACGACGCCAAACCUUGUUUGUUUUGGCGCCUGCUAAAAGGAAACAUGCGCUUUAAUGUCACAGACAGUCAAGACUCGUCUUGCUUGGCAUCUCCUCAUUUGAUUUGGCAUCGGCUUCCAUCGUUUGGUAUAACCCUAUUCCCUCUUUCAUCCUUUUUUUCUCUCUUCUUCUUCUUCUUCUCUGAUUCUUUGUGUGUAUUUGUCAUUAGGUUUAGGGAUUAAUCAUAGUCAUGAUUCUAUUAGUUGUAUUAUCAGUAUAUUUUAUUUCAGUAAUUCGUUGUAUUCUGAAAUCACAUGUUUCUUCAUAACUUUAAAUUAGUUUUUUUCCAACCUUGCCGGUCGAUUAGCUCGUAUAUAGUUCGCCAGUUUUGAUUUCUGGUUCUUCGACCUAGCUGGUCGACUAUUUCAUAUGCAUUUGUUAUUACUGAACUUUUAGUUUUAUCGACCUAGCCGGUCGAUUGUUUGUUUGUUCGUGCUUGUUACUCUUAGAUAUUUGUUCCUCGACCUAGCCGUUCGAUUGUUUGGUCGUUUGUUUGAAUAUUCAGUUAAUCGCGACUAUAAAUGAUGGAUUCGAUUCAAAUUGGUGGAUUGUUUAAUUCAUCGGGUUUAGUCGGUUCAUUAAAUGAUUUGUUAAGCUUGACCUUAUCUUUCUUUGAGCAUGAUUUUAGCUUGAGUUUUCAGCUUAAAUAAGUCAUGUAUUGAUUAAAAACUGAAGUAGUAAGAAAUACUUGAGUAUAGGGUACUUGUUUGGCUGCUUUUUACUGUUUAAAGGGAUGUUUGGAGUACACUUCUCCUAGCACAGUUCAUAGUUGGUGAAACAAUUGUCUUUUGGACAGAAUUUUGACCAAAAAUCUCUCCUUUGAAUAGUUGGGAUAGAUUUUAGGUGGAAAAUCCAUCCUUUGGACAGAUUUUCAAUCAUGAAGGCCUUGGUUCUUCUCUUGUAAAAGACACUCCAUCUAUCAUACAUAUUCUGAACAUGUUUACAUAUACUUUGAACAUCUUUACUCAUCUUACACUCAAAAAAAGGGAAUAGAAAGUUGGAGAUGAAAAGAUAAAAGAAACUUCAGCAACCUUUCAUCAAAAAAAAAUUGUUUUAGAAAAGCAAAAAGAAAGGUUUUGUAGUCUCCCUUGGUUCUUUUGGUUCUUCAAGCUUGUUGAUUUAUGGGUUUCAUUUGGUUUAAGUUGCCGUUGAUUGCUGCGGUUUGCUAGUUCUUGUUGUGUUCAUUGAGUAGAUAACUUCAGAGCUAUCCAUUGCUAGGUUUCUUUCUUUUAUUGUAAGGAUUCUGCUGUGCAUAGGUAAUCCUAUCAACUCCUUAGUAUAAUUUUAACUGUUAUCAUAAUGAGCAUGCAGCUUGAGAUAUAUCUUGACUCCUCAUCUUUGUGUUUGAAUAAUGAUGAGUGUUUUUGAAUGUUUAUUGAAUCUGCUUGCUUUGUUUUGAAUCAGCCUUUACCUAAUAUUUAUGAAUCUUUGAUGUCAUUUGAGUUCAUAAAAGUGGUUUAGUUUGAGUUAAAUAAUUUAGAACCAUAUAUAAUUUUUCUCGGUCGAUACUAAGAGCAAAUGUCUUCCGCUGCAAUUGACAUUUGAUGGCUCGAGCUUUUUAUUAAGAUAAAGUAGCACGUUUUGUCCAUUUUCCUCUCUUUUAAUUUAUGAUAAAAGUGAGUAAUGAAAGGUUAAGUAAGGACUAUGUGUUUGAUGGGAAACUAACUGUUGUUUUGGCAUGUUGUGGUGUUAAGUUUUGGUCGUAUGCGUUAGGCUUCUUAUGAACCAUAUCUGUUUGAAAACUAAAAUAUUUUGAACUCAUUCUUGUUACUAUUGAGCCAAAUUUCUUAAAUUUCAUCUUUCUUAAAGGAUGAAAAUGUUACUGUUAAAUAAGUUCAAUGUUUGAAAAGAUUUUUUUUCUUUUCUUAGGUUGAGUCAAUAGUUUAUUCUUGGAGUUUUUGAGUUUCGACUAAGUCAAAAAAAACUAUCUUUGGUUCUUUAGUAUUCCACGUCAGACACAUAUCACCUAUACUUGAGAAAAAUGGAGCUAAUUAUUUUAUUUUUAUCUUUGUUAAAUGCUAGAAUGUAGUUAAUAAUACGUUAGUUGUGAUUAUAGAAAAAUACUCCUUUUGUUAAAAUUUUGAUUGGAGCGGGAGUGUUUCCUUGUGUUGAAUCUUUGAAAACUAAGAACUUUAAAUGGCUCUUUUUAGCUUUAAUUCAUUCUUGUAACUUGCUUAUGUAACCAUUCUUUGGGUGUCGUUUGUUCCAUAUGAAUACUUCUUCGUGAUAUUUUUGUACGUCGGUGUCAUGGGCGAGUUUGAAUUAUUUGAGCCACAUAAGCUUUAGUCGAAGCAGUUAGCCAAAUAACUUGAGACCUUUUAAUUAAUUAGUUUAAUAUUUCUCAAAAGCGCUAAGCAACUAGUAGGCACGCUUUAACUUUUACAUGUAAGAUAGUUUGUUAUUGGCUAGUUGGAAGUGGGAUUCUUCCCAUAUCGGAAGAAGGAAGUUCCGUGCCUGUUAUGUGAAACACCUUCGGGACUGACCUUACUCGUACCGUGCCUUUUAGCCUCGGAACUGAUCAUGAUGAAAUAGCACUCAACAUGCACGAGAUUGACUCAACAGGCACGAGACUGACUCAACAGGCACGAGAUCCUAAAGUUUGAAUUUUAAAUUCAAAAUUCGAAUAAAUAGCCAUGUCUGUUUGUGAAACAAGACAUCUUUUCUGAAAGGGUCUGUUGGUUGCCUAUAAAUACACAAGAAUUCCAACGAAGUGAAAUAGAAAAUUACAAGUGUUAUUGCAGGCUUUGUUGUAUCCUGAAGAGA